CGGCGAGUGAAGCGGCAACAGCUCAAAUUUGAAAUCUGGCUCUCGGGCCCGAGUUGUAAUUUGUAGAGGAUGCUUUUGGUGAGGUGCCUUCCGAGUUCCCUGGAACGGGACGCCAUAGAGGGUGAGAGCCCCGUCUGGUUGGACACCGAUCCUCUGUAAAGCUCCUUCGACGAGUCGAGUAGUUUGGGAAUGCUGCUCUAAAUGGGAGGUAUAUGUCUUCUAAAGCUAAAUACCGGCCAGAGACCGAUAGCGCACAAGUAGAGUGAUCGAAAGAUGAAAAGAACUUUGAAAAGAGAGUUAAAAAGUACGUGAAAUUGUUGAAAGGGAAGCGCUUGUGACCAGACUUGGGCUUGGUUGAUCAUCCGGGGUUCUCCCCGGUGCACUCUUCCGGCUCAGGCCAGCAUCAGUUCGCCCUGGGGGAUAAAGGCUUCGGGAAUGUGGCUCUCUCCGGGGAGUGUUAUAGCCCGCUGCGUAAUACCCUGUGGCGGACUGAGGUUCGCGCAUUCGCAAGGAUGCUGGCGUAAUGGUCAUCAGUGACCCGUCUUGAAACACGGACCAAGGAGUCGUCUUCGUAUGCGAGUGUUCGGGUGUCAAACCCCUACGCGAAAUGAAAGUGAACGCAGGUGAGAGCUUCGGCGCAUCAUCGACCGAUCCUGAUGUUAUCGGAUGGAUUUGAGUAAGAGCAUACGGGGCCGGACCCGAAAGAAGGUGAACUAUGCCUGUGUAGGGUGAAGCCAGAGGAAACUCUGGUGGAGGCUCGCAGCGGUUCUGACGUGCAAAUCGAUCGUCAAACAUGGGCAUGGGGGCGAAAGACUAAUCGAACCUUCUAGUAGCUGGUUUCCGCCGAAGUUUCCCUCAGGAUAGCAGUGUUGAACUCAGUUUUAUGAGGUAAAGCGAAUGAUUAGGGACUCGGGGGCGCUAUUUAGCCUUCAUCCAUUCUCAAACUUUAAAUAUGUAAGAAGCCCUUGUUGCUUAAUUGAACGUGG
RNAcentral lists this ribosomal RNA (986 nucleotides) under Fusarium falciforme. RNAcentral's name for it is "partial large subunit ribosomal RNA". It matches the Rfam family "Eukaryotic large subunit ribosomal RNA", at positions 87 to 1104 of the family's 3401-position model. The record is from RNAcentral. Lineage: Eukaryota; Fungi; Ascomycota; Sordariomycetes; Hypocreales; Nectriaceae.